RNAcentral lists this ribosomal RNA (94 nucleotides) under Pseudomonadales bacterium. Lineage: Bacteria; Pseudomonadati; Pseudomonadota; Gammaproteobacteria; Pseudomonadales. The record is from RNAcentral.
CCUGAUGAUCAUAGCGAGUUAACUCAGUAGUGAAACGGCUCAGCGCCGAUGGUAGUAUGGGGUCUCCCCAUGUGAGAGUAGGUCGUUGUCAGGU